GAUGAACGCUGGCGGCUUGCCUAAUACAUUCAAGUCGAGCGAACAGAUGAGUGGCUUGCUUCUCUGACUUUAGCGGCGGACGGGGGAUUAACACGUUUAUUACCUACCUAUUGUACUUUGUUAACUUCGCGAAUCCUGAGCUAGUACCUUAUAAUAUAUUCAUCCUCAUGGGUCUAUAGUGAUAGACGGUCUUGCUGUCACUUAUUUAUGGAUCCGCGCAGCAUAGGCUAGUUGGUAAGGUAACGGCUUACUAAGGCGACGAUGCGUAGCCGACCCGAGAGGGUGAGCGGCCAAACUGGAACUGAGACCCGGUCCAGACUCCUACGGGAGGCAGCAGUAGGGAAUCUUCCGCAAUGGGCGAAGGCAUGACGGAGCAACGCCGCGUGAGUGAUGAAGGUCUUCGGAUCGUAAAACUCUGUUAUUAGGGAAGAACAAAUGUGUAAGUAACUAUGCACGUCUUGACGGUACCUAAUCAGAAAGCCACGGCUAACUACGUG
RNAcentral lists this ribosomal RNA (497 nucleotides) under uncultured bacterium. RNAcentral describes it as "partial 16S ribosomal RNA". It matches the Rfam family "Bacterial small subunit ribosomal RNA", at positions 28 to 507 of the family's 1533-position model. The record is from RNAcentral.